RNA transcript from Ornithodoros turicata, 2650 nucleotides. RefSeq lists it as uncharacterized. NCBI's taxonomy places the organism in Eukaryota, Metazoa, Arthropoda, Arachnida, Ixodida, Argasidae. The transcript is spliced from 9 exons. The record is from RefSeq and is a predicted model, not a curated record.
AGCAGGAAGACUCCACUUGGAAGACAGCAAAUACAAGUGCUGUACGAGACUGUUUUCAGCUAGAUUCGAUUGUUUCUGCUUCUGCUCAGUCUGUAUCGUCUGCAUAUCUGGACUCCUAUGGGAACCACUACCAGUCUUGUGGAUCAUCUCAAAUGGCACUGCAAAUCUGAAAUUUAUUUGCUUUCUGGUCUCAGUAUUUGUUUUAGAUUCAGUUCCAGCUAAUGGAAAAAUAUCAGCCCAAAGUUUGCUAUUGACACACGCCAAGUGAUCUUCAUGUGGUGAGAUGGAAUUGUGAUCAGCCGUAUGGGAAAUUUCUGAUAAUUGUAACUGAUACCCGCGAGCCCAACUCAUUUGAAAAUCUUUCAGGUGACUUGAAGCAAGGAGCAAGCUCCCCAAUGAAAGAACGUCACCCUAGGCAAUCCAAUGGAUCUGGUGACACCUGUCAUCCCCUCAAAGAGUAGACCAUUGGUCAUUCAGCGGACUUGGGCUGACCGUGAGGCUGAACUGCACGGCAAUGCUCACAAGAAAGAAAAUGGCCUCCGAACUGCACAGUACGAGAAGUGCCUUCAUUUAAAAUGUUGACGAAGAGACCAUGUUUGUGCCAUCAUUAGAGCUCUUCAACUCUCCCCCGAAACCAGGAACGAUCGCCGAACGAGAACACGCCAAGUGGCUGAAUGCUGUCCCACUAGAGAACAACCCGUACAGCGCGGAGAACCUGACGAAACGAGCCUCCCUCGGGAGGAAGGACUCUAUCCUGUCGAACCCUGCAGCAGCCCAUGAACAGGAUGAUGUGGAAGACGAAAAUCCUUCUCUCCUCCUGUGCUCCCAGCUGCUUGUGUACGGGACUAUUACAUCAACAACCCCAGACUCCUGGCAAGAGCUGAGGCUUUACCACAGAGGUUCCCAUCUGAGAUAGAGAGUUGCGAAGAAAGGUGCAUUCCUUCGAAGAACAGAUGUACUCCACCCCUCGCAUGGCAUUCAGUCCAACCUUUCAGCGACAACAAGUGAGGUCCAACUCUCCGCCUCCUCUUCCAGAGACUCCUCCUCCAGGCAUCACACAGAUGACUGCCAGCAAGUUUGAAUCCGGUAUUGAAGUGACAGGCGAAAGAUGGCAGUAGAAGAGGAUCUGUCUUUGCCUUCUGUGAGGGAACUGGUGUUGAAAUUUGCCAGUCCAUCAACGCAGUCCUCCUUGGAUGUUCCAUUGGAAACAACCAGCCCGUGGUAGAUUAUUUCGCAGUGAUUUCAAAUAUGACCACCAGCAUGUACAGUUGAAAUGUUCGACUAUGUCUAUAAAACGAGGCACUUUGAAUUUUGGAUCCCUAAAAAAUUUAGACAAUGAUUUGUCUCCGUAGGGCAUUCUCCCAGAGAAAGCCAUCAUUCUGGAAGAAAAGGAGAGUGGAUCAUGUGAUCAACUCAAGACUUGGAAUAUGAGCAAGGAUGCCAGGAAACCUGAGCCAUUGCCCAGAAAGAAAUUGCCAGACAAUGUAAGUAAUGUAAUGUGCAAUAGAAAGGAAAUGACUACACACAAGCUCAGCUUGUCCGCCAGUUAUUUUUUCGUGUCUCCCUAAAUGCUAAGUGCACACAUUCCCAGAUCCACAGCCUGACAGCACGCAGCCUGUCCCGGGAAUUUCGUGAGCAUGCUCAGAAGAACCUGGUUCCCAGACAGAUGAACCGGUCGCACCUUGCUCCUCCUUCAGCCACGUCAUCAAUAGACACUGUCCUGUCGUCCUCCACUGAAAAGUGUACCGUGGGAGGUGACACUACGCCUGGCUAUGCAUCCGACGAGAGCUCCACCAGCUCUGCAGGCACCCCUGUAGCACGGGUCAUUGGGGCCAAACGGAGGCAGGCGCGCAACCUCCUUCAACGAGCGUCUUACUGGGAAAGACGGGCGGAACAAGGCCUGCUCUCGGACAGUUCGUGACGGAAGAAUUUCCGCAGGAAGCAGAAGUGCGUGCUAAAGUGUGAAAGUUUGUGGGAUGUUUUUGAAACAUCACACGUCGUCGUCUGUGUACAAAGGGGUUAUGAAAGAACUUGCGACGACAUAAUGGGGGAAAGAUUUGUAAUCAGCCGAAUAACACUAGUGUCCUUGGCUGAGGCUCCACCGCCAGGUUAAUGUACGAACACCCUUGUGUGGUGUUUUAGCAGCAGGUACUUAACUCAGGUGAGACUUUGUUUACUGCUCCGCAUUCCUACCUGUUCCUCCGUGCCAUCAUGAUAACAUCCGCAUUUCUGUUCUUUUUUUAGAGUCGCAAUGUUUGGUUGAAUUAUUUUUAUUUUGCACCGAGUGAGUUUUGGAGCAAUCUAUGUGCGCUAGAUACUUCAGAAGUAUUGUAGUCGAUGAUUUGCGAACAUUAUCUUUCCACACAGUAAUGGGCUACAAAGUAUAUGCCAGCAACCUGUACUUGAGAACAGAACCACAUUUGUAGCAUGUGGAAAAGAAUGGCAACUAAGAAAUGGUGAAGACUGAGCAUGCAGAGACGUGCGUGCGACAAAAAUUUGAUGGCCAACUGAUUACUCGUGUGAGGGUCAACACAUUAUGUGUCUUCCUUGUUCUCUUUUUCAGCAGGUACAUUUCACCUAAUUUUUGUGGUACACAAAAUGACAGGAGCAGCCACUAAAACACUGCAAAGCUCAUUCUGCUAACAGAACA